This 8753-nucleotide long non-coding RNA is filed under the name Coffea arabica (coffee). Its description in RNAcentral is "long non-coding RNA (CARA_LNC002301)". Lineage: Eukaryota; Viridiplantae; Streptophyta; Magnoliopsida; Gentianales; Rubiaceae. The record is from RNAcentral.
UUUUUUUUUUUUUUUUUUAGUCUUGACUAGACCAAUUGAAUCCAUGGACUCUUGACUCUCAAAUUUGGCCUCGUCACUACCCUGUCCGAAUUUCAAAAUAUUGGUUUUAAUGGGAAGUGUAGUUGUGGGAAGCCAAGAUCCUAGAACUUAACUAGAAGCCCAAAAAUAUAUGUCCCUGGGAAUGUCCCUAUUUCAUUGUAAUGUUAAAAUUCAACUAGAAAAGGGGGAAACAAAAAGAAAAGAAGAAACUAUAUUAACCUUUAUAGUCUGUCAUUGCACAUACCCCAAGAACCAAUAAUGUUUUGAGUUAAUCCCCCGGCAUAUUGUUCACAAUCAUGACAUAGAAUGACAAUUAAUUAAAGAUUUGCCUCAAAAGUAGCCAUCAUAAAGACAUAUCUGCUUAUCUUACCAUUAUUCUUUUUAAAGUUUUUGAAAAACCAUUUUCAGAUUGCUUCCAUGAAAAUUAAAAUCUUACGAUGCACAAAUAACUUUACCUUUUUGCAACAGUCACGAUGAGAGAUUCUAGAACUUGGCUGGAAGCCCAUAAUUACAUGCUAUUUUAAGAAUGUAGGACUUCAAUGCGAUGUCAAACUUCAAUCCAAAAUGAAUAGGGAAAAGAAAAAGAAGAGAUAAAUUCACGUUUCCAGUCUGAGUCAUAGCAAAGGGACCUUUGUCUUGAAUUACUUUCUUACUAUAUAUUUGAGCAUCAUGGCAUAAAAUGAUACUAGGUUUUGCCUUCAAAUAGCCAUUAGUUACAUGGGAUAACAUAUGAGAUUAUGUUACCGUUAUUUUAUUUUAUUUUGAAAUCCACUAGUAAAUUUUACAACGGUACUAUAAUGCAGUAACAAUUUUACCUUAUUGCAAUAGUCAAGAUCAGGGUACAAGUUUAUCAAGUGUUUCUGCAGAGAUCAGGAAGAUAUCCGGAUUUUACUAUGAGGUUGUUGAGUUUUUUGCCAAAAUAACACUCUUACUAAAAAAUAUUUCCAAUGUGAUUCACUUUCAAAUUUUAUUACCAUAAUGAUAUUAUUGUUCCCAUCUAAUUAUCCUGAUUGCCAUGUAGAAUAACAAGAAAGGAAAGUUCUAAUCAAAUUUUAAUUUUUUUUAUUAUAGAGGCACAAGAAGAUUGCAUAACUUUUAUAAUUUCCUUAUAAUUAUCUUAAAUAAAUUUUACCAUUAUUGACCUUACUAUUAUUGGUCUCCGAAUUUUUUUAAAUGUAUCAAACCUAUUGCAUAUAUAUUUUUUCAAAAAAUAAUUUUAAAAAUACAAAAAUUGCACCAAAAAUUGCAACGAAAAUUGUAAUCAAUUACAAAAAUUUCAAGGUUAUCAUAUUUGUUUAUGUUAUCCUUCCUACUCUUUGAAAAGAUAAAAAUAAUCUUCAUCUACCUUAAGAUUAUCGACUUGCGAAACAUAUUUUUUAGAUGCUAUUAAUAUAAAGAUUGGCUUCUUAAAUUAUGUUUGACAAGGGAAAAAUAACGAAAGAAAAAAAUGUGGGAAACUUUAUAGAGAAAAUUGAAGAAAAUAUUAGAUGAGAAAGAGAAAUGGAAGAUGUUUUUAUCUCUAUCCUGACACAUAUGCAGCUUAAGUGGCAAAAAAGGAUCACAAAGGUAAUAAGUUUUAAAAUUAAGUGGCAAAAAAGGAUCACAAAGAUAAUAAGUUUUAAAAUUAAGUUACUUUGAGUAUAUAUUCUAGAAGAAGAGUUAUUUUGGCAAUAAACUCUGAGGUUGUUAGAGGAAGUUAGAUCAAGAUAGCUAUCAUCUACUGAUUUUCCUUUAGCAUCUAAACCUACAGAAUCUGAUCAAAUUACACUUCCAACAAUAUCUUAACUGUCAUUUCUUCAUCCCCUUCUUCCUAUUCUCUUCUUCUAUUUCGUCUCCCUCAAUAUAGAAUAGUGCAAUUUUCUUUCCAAAAUCUUUCACCUUUUUCUCAUUCAAAAUAGGCUACAAACAUGAAGAAUACUAUAUCUUCUCCCUCUUUUCAAGAACUUAAUCACAGGGGUGAUGAAGAUGAGAAACUUCUCACUCUUUCACUCUUUACAAAUCCCAUUUCCACUGCAUUUCAACCGAUAUGUUAUUCAAGAGCUUCUCCUUCACCAUCACUUCAUAUCUAUGACAAUGUCCCUAUGAAUCUCCAAACGGCAUCUCACCAAGAGGGGACAAUUUCAACACAUCCACAACGCAAAAGAAAGCCACCAACACAAACUCCGCCUCCAGGAAAGUCCGAAAACAUCCCUCCACCGUACCCUUGGGCUACCACACGACGCGCCACCGUGCACACCCUAGAUUACCUGCUUUCCAAUGGCUUGAACAGGAUUAGAGGUGAAGUUCAAUGCAAAAGAUGUGAUGAAAAGUACGAAAUGGAGUUCGAUUUGCAAAAUAAGUUCGCGGAGAUUGCGACAUUUAUCGCGAAAAAUAAGGAUUCUCUGCAUGACAGGGCACCAAAUGUUUGGAUGAAUCCAUGUUUGCCAAAUUGCAAGUUUUGUGACCAAAGCAAUAGUGUAAAGCCGAUUCUUACUAAGAAGAGAUCCAUCAAUUGGCUAUUUUUGUUGUUAGGUCAGAUGCUUGGAUGCUGUAAGCUCGGUGAACUCAAGUAUUUUUGCAAGCAUACCAAGAAUCAUAGGACAGGUGCAAAGGAUCGAGUUCUUUAUCUUACUUAUUUAGAGCUGUGUAAGCAACUUGAUCCUCAAGGACCCUUUGGUAGAUAAAUGAAGGUGUCCACAAGUCAUGCUUCGGUUUGCACCUCUGUUUGGAAGCUUUUAUCUUGUGAUCUCUAUUUCACUUUCUUAUGGUUUAAAUAGAUUUUUAGAUGGCUGGAAGCAGCCUAGGAGAGAAUAGCACAUCAAACGUUGAGAUUGAAAUCCGCAUGGAGAAACCAAGAAUUCAUCUUAACCUCUAUAUUACUUAAUAUUUCAUUCUACAUGUAUUCAUCCAUGGGUAAGUGUCUAUUCACACAGAGUUCAGCACAAAUCUACCAUCAAAAUUGUCGAGUUCCAACCUUCGUUAAUGUUAUGAUCCAUUUUCCAAAAAUUCGUUAAUGAAAUUUAAAUUCAUUACGAGAAAUUUAAGUUUUCUAGUGAUGCGUCAGAUUACUGCAAAUCACAAAAACUUUCCUAAAAACCCUCUUUUUAGUGACUUUCAUAAAAAUUUUGUUUAUUAUGACAUCAAACUGGUCAUAGUAACAAUAAAUAUGAUGGUUUUAGAUCAUAAAAGGUAUGAUUUUAAGUCAUAAUAGUAGCACAUUUAUUGGAACUCGCAAUCAAUCUUGUGACCAUGUAGGGGCUGACCUAAUUUGUGACUUAUUUACAAGUCACAAUCAUAUUUUGACGCCUUGUGACAUAUGGAAAAAAAGGAUGUGCACGCAUACACAAGACACGUUUUUGUUGAAGUAAAUAGCAAGGGAUGGUCUUUGUUGAAGUAAAGUAGCAAGGGAUAGUAAUGGCACAAGUAAAGGACUACUACUUUUUUCGUUGCUACAAAAACAGGGAAUAUGUGUGUCAAAUGCCAAGUAAAUUCAUCAGUGACGUAGCUUUCCCUGUGGCGGGUGCAUAGUGCACUCGUCUGAUCCGGUGGUGGUUCAGUCCCCUUCGGAUUAUCCCAAGAUCUCUUUAGGCACUCUCCCUCUCUAUAGUAUAGGAAGCUAUCGUAUCGACAAAAAAAAAAAAAAAAAAGACACAGCUUUCACAUGUAGAUUUCCACCAACUCCUACAUAAUUUUGGCGACAAAAAUAUGCACAAAAGAAGAUCCCAAAGAAUAUCAAUUUCACAGGAAAUUAAACUAUCUCUUCCCGUUUGACCAAAUCGAAAAAAUGAGCACUAGUCAAUCUCCCAUUCCAGAGAUAGUUGAUGAGCUUGCUACUUUCUAGAUGUGCAGAACCUUGGACUUGCACCACAAUGACAGGAUUACUAGGGUAAAAAUGACUAUGCUUGCUGUUUUUUCCUUGUCUGACCUUCACCAUCUUCAGGUAAUGGGGGAUUUAGGAUUUAAGAUUUGUGAAACUUUGGCAUCGGAGAUAGAGGUAAACAUUUAAGGCUGUGGUCUCUUUCAUUGGGAGAAGGCACAAUAUUUUUUAUUUGUUUUGUCUGACUUGGAUUGAAAAUAAUAGUAGGAAAGUUAAAUUGAAGAUAGUUUUGUAAUUGAAUUAUAAAGGUUAGAGGAAGGGUAGGUUUGGAUGAUUCAAAGGGAGGAAACGUAAAUCAGAGGUUAUGAGAGAUUCAAGGUUCAAAUCCUUCUACUUAUACUUUAAAAAAAAUUAACUACAAAGGAUAAUGUAUAUCUUAUUACAUGAAUAAUACAGCAUUCCGCGCUUAUGAAUUUGGUGAGAUUUACACCCCAUUAUGAAAUACUUAGCAAUUUUCCUUGUACCAAAUUGAAAAUUUUUCAAACAUGUAUCCCCAUCAAAAUAUAUAGCCCUAUCAAAUUACUUCAAAGACCUUAAUAAUGCGAUUGAUACCCUCACACAAUCAUAGAUACAUUUGUAUACAUUUGGUAAUAUUUUGCUUGAGAUGCAAAUUUACUCGUGGGCAUUUUCAUACUUCAACAUUUUAUUUAUUGUUUAUUGAACUAAUACCAGCCUCCGCCAUUUUCCAAAAAUACACAAGAGUCUACCUACUGAUGAAUAUUCAUUUUUCCUUUUCUCUUUUCUCAAUUUUUCCCAAAAGAAAUUUAUUCACGGACCAAAUUGGUAAUUUGGAUUAGAAGACACAGAAAAGCAAAAGGCUGAGAACAGCAAUUUGAGAUAAUAAAUCAUCGUUGUGGAAUUGUCAUGUCUUGCAUCUUCUCCCUCAAAUGCUUUUGAAUUCUUGGAUCUGAGCUACUGGAGAAUAUUCCAAAUAUGAGCCCAAAACUGUUUUAGAACCCAUUUGCGGUUGCGGUAAUUUAUAAAAAAGUACUUCUCUAGUAGAACUUUUAAUAAAAGUACUUAUCAACUACUUAAUAAGUACUUUCAAAUAUACUGUUUGGAGAUAUAAUUCAAUAUGUACUUAUUGUAUUGGAUAAUGUGUAAUUCGAAAAUUUUUAAAAGUUUUUAUCUAUUUAUUUGGUUCAUAAUAUAGGAUAAGAUGAUUAAAUUUAAUAUUUUAUUUUUUAAAUCACAAAACCUACUCCAAAAGCACCAAAUUUGAACUUUUUCCAAAAAUAAUUUUAACACUGAAAACUCUAUUUCUAAUUUUAUGGAAUGAUAUUCACCAAACAUUUUAAAAGUACUUUUAACAUCUAAAAGUACUUUUUUAUCAAAAGCACUGCAACUCCAAACAGGGCUUUAAUUUGCUUAGACUAAAGGCAUCAUCAGAAAUAGUGAUGCAAAUGUACACAGAAGUAGACGGGGGGUAAAAGGAAAGGAAGAGAGUAACAGUAGAAAAUAAAAGUUUGAAUUGCUGCUUUACUUUCUUUGAUGGUAAACCUAGAGUAUCUAAGGUAAUUAAGAAUCAUUACUAUGACCGCUGCAUGGAUCCUUCAAAUCCAUAUGAUCUGCUAAAUCUGUAACGUCUAAAUCAAGAGGGCAUCACUGAACUUUUAUGCGCUAUAUUUCAGCAUCUGUAUAAAUCAAGAGGGCAUCACUGAACUUUUAUGCGCUAUAUUUCAGCAUCUGUAAAUGAAGUUUUAAUUCAACUUCACAACUAAGCAUGGAACAUUUCAGUUUUUAGCCAAAAUCAAUUUACUGAUAUCCUACACAGUUGUCAUACAAGUCAAUCCUGUUAGCCUUUGUAUCUGCGUUAAUGAAACGAAACAAAUUAAAGGCAAAAAGUUUCUGUAACUAUGGAACUUCAGUACUGCAUCUCAGAAUCCAGCUUUUCUUUCGUAAUACACGGAAAUCUUCUUAGACCUUAUCCACCACCUCGAGCUCAGCAGAUUGCAAGAACCAUAGCUGAUACAAUUCGCGUAAUGGCAUCCUUUUGUCAGACCUUUUUCAUUUGCUGAUAUGUGCCAAGCAAGUUGAGCAAAGCAAUGAUUGAAAAAAAAAAAAACUGAAUUUUACUUAGCUAGCACAACAGUCGCAUUGCUGAGGAUUAUUAAUUGGAUUAAUGCCAUGAGAGAGAGAGAGAGAGAGUCCAAAUCAAACUAUCAAAGGUAUCAAUUACUUCCACACAAAGGUUCAUAGCAGAGCAACCAAAAACCGAAAUCAACGUAGCUUCCUCAAAGUGCAUAUACAAUAUUAAAAGAAUUGCAAUAUAGAAUACAUUCACCUUGAAAAUUCUAAUCAGAUGAUAUAUUAAAUAAGCAGAUGCGCAACUAGAAUGAAUGAUAUCACGCAAGCUAAUAAAUUGAUAUUCAUCUCCCUCAUAACAAGUGUUUUGGCCAGAGAAAGAGUGAUCCAGGUAACAUAACAGAAUACUCGAUGAACGUAUAAUUGCCCCAUUUAGAGGAAGGUGACAUCGAGUCAGAACAAAUCUAGCAAGCUGAAUUCAGGGGUACUAAACCAUACCAAUAGAAAGCACUUGGGAGUGAGGUCAUUCAAAUCACCAACAGUUUAAAUAACUAGACAAAAGGUAUUGAGUGGCAUCAAAACCAAAAUACAAACUUCCAGAACUAAGCAGCAGCAUUUAGCAACUCUCAGAAAGUUACCAAAAUGUGAAGGCAUAUGUGACCCGUCAAUGACUUGGAUAUCUGAUAUCCAUAAUUACUCUCGAAGGUAGAAGCAUUAUACAUACUUCUACCUCCCUCUUCCAGAUUGCUCUAAAAUUAUCCUCUGAAGAGAUGAUGUGAUACAAGACUCAUUACUGAGGGAACUCGCGAAGUCAAAAAAUCAAUAUUACAUAUACAAUACUUGGAAAAACAAAUACAGUGUAAAUCUACACAAAAGGAGGAUUUCCUUUGCAGAACUUCUCUUAUUGAUAAAAUGUAUAAAAUCAGAGUACAACUAUAAAAACCUAGGAAAGAAAUGCUGAGAGUAACUCCUGAAUAACUCCUGAAUUUAGCUUGGCAAAAACAAGUUUGUCACUGCAGGGAUACUUGUUUGGAUCACUGUCAUCACACACACACACACAGAGUCCAAAAUGAAUGAGUAAAAUGAACCAUAGGUGUAUUUUAACUACACUUCAACCACAAGGUACACAGCAGAUCAACUUUCACCUUCCUUCUAUAUUCCUAAUCAGAUUAUACGUCAACAAAGCAGAUAGAGACUAGAAUAAAAAAAAGUCGAGCUAGCUUGAAGACAUUACCCAUUCAACCCAUUGGUCUCAAGUUUUGUUCUACGUAAGAGAGACACAUGAACAGAGAAGUCAAAAGAGUGAUCCAGGUUACAUAACAAAAUACUUGAUUUAGAAUGAAAAAAAAAAAAAAAAAAAGUCAAGCUAGCUUGAAGACAAUAUCCAUUCAGCCCAUUGGUUUCAAGUUUCAUUUUAUGUAAGAGAGAUGCAUGAACAGACAAUUCAAGUGUAACAGACAAUUCAAGAGUGAUCCACGUUACACAACAAAAUACUUGAUUUAUAAUUGCUGAUUUCAGAGGAAUGAUGAGCCAUCAAGUCAAUUCAAGUAUAACAAGCCUCAUUCCAGGAAGUAAUUCCUAUAAAUAGAAAGAACUUAAAGUCUCAGGUCAUACUAAUCAGAACACCUUAACAAACAAGUUUAAAGGUAUCCAAUUGGCAUCAAAGCCAUAUACAAGCUUCAUUAAGAAUAAUCAUCAAAGUAGCAAGUCACUAAGAAGCAAAUUACCAAUAUGCAAAUGUAUGUCAAUCAAUAGUGGGCAGUCCAACUGAUGUGGAUAUCUGAGUCACGACAUAUUCAUUGGCAGCUAGCAGCACCAGACAAUCCGUGCCUCAUUCUACCAGAUAUCUAUACAAUUAUACUACAGAGCUAUGAUCUAACAUAUGAUUAGCACAUAAAGUCGACCAGUAAUGCACAACAGUUCAAAAAAUAAAUGGCCAUUUAAUCACAACACACGAAUGCACUGUAUUAGCCAAAGUUCUAUGCCUAGAAAGAACUAGUCCAGAUUUUGGGAUGCAUUAUUAAAUAAAAUUACAAGAAAGUUAUGCAAAAAAAAUGUGGAUAGGAGCUUAAAUCACAAAUAAAUUUGAAUGCUUAUAACUGCCAAAAACAUGGAGGAGCAUACAACAAUAGAUAGUAGAAAGCUUCUGUGAAUGGAAGUCUUCAUAUUUGUCCGCUUCAUGUUCUAAACAGAAUUCCAUAAUUUACUCCUCCAAGCAAAUUUUAAGCAGAACAUUUCAUCAUAAUCCGAGCAGAGUAUAGUAUAUCCAUCAUCACAGUCUAAGCUACGACACAAUACAAAAGAAUAUCCAAAGUUACUCAUCUUGUCACAUAUAAAUAAAAAAGGACACACUUAUGUGACUGCAAACACUAGUUUCCUACAUCAGACAGAAUAUAGACAAGCAUUCCAUUUAAAUAACCUUACUAAAUGCUCUGAUGUGUAGCAGUGUACUACUCUAUUUUUUAGAUCAAACCAUGAUCGGCAAAAUAUCCAUGUUGCUUCACAUCUACUGAAGUUUGCAACAUCCAGACCAAAACAAGCACCACAAAAUUCAGAUUAAUUGGAAGCAAAGCAGAACUCAGGUCAGUGAGAAAGUGUAAAACUUCAAAACACCCAAACUAUAAAAAAGCAAAAGAAAACACUUGUUGAAUACUAUUGCCACUUCCAGCGAAAAUGAAUUUUCAGCUACAAUAUACAUAGUUUGUUACACCUCAGCUGUGAAUGAGAAACUACAGAAAAUCUGCUACUUUCUCCUCUUGAGUGGCCCAGUUUUGUAGCCACACUUAGUGGGCUUCCCCCAUGGUGUACGUGAACCACGUCCAUGACUCCCACU